RNAcentral lists this RNase P RNA (419 nucleotides) under Ancalomicrobiaceae bacterium. RNAcentral's name for it is "RNase P RNA component class A". It matches the Rfam family "Bacterial RNase P class A". Rfam says of the family: Ribonuclease P (RNase P) is a ubiquitous endoribonuclease, found in archaea, bacteria and eukarya as well as chloroplasts and mitochondria. Its best characterised activity is the generation of mature 5'-ends of tRNAs by cleaving the 5'-leader elements of precursor-tRNAs. The record is from RNAcentral. Lineage: Bacteria; Pseudomonadati; Pseudomonadota; Alphaproteobacteria; Hyphomicrobiales; Ancalomicrobiaceae.
UCAGUCGGCCGGGCGGCCGCUCCCGUUCGCGGGGGAGGAAAGUCCGGGCUCCAUGGAAUGACGGUGCCGGGUAACGCCCGGCGAGGGCGACCUCAGGGAAAGUGCCACAGAGAACGAACCGCCGCGUCGGUUCGCCCCAUCGACGACAGGGGAUCGAGUGCCUCUGUCGGGGGCGUCGGCGCGGCAAGGGUGAAAAGGUGGGGUAAGAGCCCACCGCGGCGCCGGCAACGGGGCCGGCAUGGCAAACCCCACCGGGAGCAAAACCGAAUAGGGGCGACGCGGGGGCAACCCCAGUCUUUUCCAGACCAGUCGCCCGGGUUGGUUGCGCGAGGCGUCCGGCAACGGACGUCCCAGAUGAAUGGCCGCCGCGCGGGGGCAACUCCGCCGUACAGAACCCGGCUUACAGGCCGACUGACAUU